Molecule: ribosomal RNA, 229 nt
Filed under: uncultured bacterium
Lineage: Bacteria
Description: partial 16S ribosomal RNA
Rfam family: Bacterial small subunit ribosomal RNA
Source: RNAcentral
UACGCAGGCGGCUUAGUAAGUUGGGUGUGAAAUCCCGGGGCUCAACCCCGGAACUGCAUUCAAAACUGCUAGGCUUGAAUACGGGAGAGGGAAGUGGAAUUCCUGGUGUAGAGGUGAAAUUCGUAGAUAUCAGGAGGAACACCAGUGGCGAAAGCGACUUCCUGGCCCGAUAUUGACGCUCAUGUACGAAAGCAUGGGGAGCAAACAGGAUUAGAUACCCUGGUAGUCC